GGCUCAUGGUUCAGUGGCAGGGCACCUGCUUUGCAUGCAGAAGGUCCCUGGUGCAAUCCCAAACAUCUCCA
RNAcentral lists this transfer RNA (71 nucleotides) under Podarcis lilfordi (Lilford's wall lizard). RNAcentral describes it as "tRNA.Ala". The record is from RNAcentral. Lineage: Eukaryota; Metazoa; Chordata; Lepidosauria; Squamata; Lacertidae.